GUUUUCGUAAAAUACACAAAAUGUAUACUACAAAACACCAUAAUAACACUCGAGUUUAUGUUUUGUAAAAGCGUUUCUUUUUCUACCAACAUUUUUGCUCAGAUCAUCAACUUCGGGGAUAGUUUUGGAAAAACAAUACCUAUCUAGUUGAUAAACUGUGAAGGUCAUUUUUUAAAUUUUCUUAAUAAUUAUGAAAAAUCGAGAAAAACUGGGAUAAUAGAUCUAUUAAUCUAUUAACUACGAUUUUGUGUAAUUCAGUUCAAAAAAAUCACAAAUACCUGAAAUUUGUACCUAAUCCUCAUAUAAUCUCUUUCUAGACAUUAUAAAAUUUGAAUAAUGUUCCUAAUAUGCAUAAUAAUUAU
Cinara cedri is the source of this 362-nucleotide non-coding RNA. Lineage: Eukaryota; Metazoa; Arthropoda; Insecta; Hemiptera; Aphididae. The record is from the annotation of a GenBank genome assembly.